This 544-nucleotide ribosomal RNA is filed under the name Chrysomphalus nr. pinnulifer D4479A. RNAcentral's name for it is "eukaryotic LSU rRNA". Lineage: Eukaryota; Metazoa; Arthropoda; Insecta; Hemiptera; Diaspididae. The record is from RNAcentral.
AUCUGGGCGGCGGAAUUCAGGAUGGCUGGCGUGCUCUCGUGCGUCGGUCGUUUGAUAUUUCCGUCGCCAACUAACCGCAGACGUCGCGACCUGUUCGCGGUCGGUCCCUGCUCGGAGGAGCCGCGUUCGAGCUCGUUGUGUGCGCGUUUCGGCGCGUCACACGGCGAAGGCGCGGAUCUCUGGCUGGCCGUCGGACAGUAUGCUUAACGGUGUCCGGUGUCGUCGUCUCGUACGCGCGGCAUCGGUACCGGUCAGCGACGAAUUCUUCGGGCCUCUUUCCGACCCGUCUUGAAACACGGACCAAGGAGUCUAACAUGCGCGCGAGUCGCGGGGUAUCGAGCGUACUUUGGUGCGUUCGUUAUGUUGCGAAACCCGUACAUGUCGAAGGCGUAAUGAAAGUGAAUGGGGAAGAUGGUGUUCCGAGUACACGUUCCGCGAUCGUCGGUAUCGCGGCCGGGCACCCGCAUUCCCAGGGCGUCUCAACGGCCCGUCGUUGAUGCGGACAGUCGUCUCUCGGGGUGGCUGUCGGUCGGCGACGAACCGA